Molecule: ribosomal RNA, 440 nt
Filed under: uncultured bacterium
Lineage: Bacteria
Description: partial 16S ribosomal RNA
Rfam family: Bacterial small subunit ribosomal RNA
Source: RNAcentral
CCUACGAGAGGCAGCAGUGGGGGAUAUUGCACAAUGGGGGAAACCCUGAUGCAGCGAUGCCGCGUGAGUGAAGAAGUAUUUCGGUAUGUAAAGCUCUAUCAGCAGGGAAGAAGAUGACAGUACCUGACCAAGAAGCCCCGGCUAACUACGUGCCAGCAGCCGCGGUAAUACGUAGGGGGCACGCGUUCUCCGGAUUUACUGGGUGGAAAGGGAGCGUAGACGGUUAUGUAAGUCUGGAGUGAAAGCCCGGGGACCAACCCCGGGACUGCUUUGGAAACUGUGUAACUGGAGUACAGGAGAGGAAGGCGGAAGUCCUGGUGUAGCGGUGAAAUGCGUAGAUAUCAUGAGGAACACCGGCGGCGAAGGCGGCCUGCUGGACUGAAACUGACGUUGAGGCUCGAAAGCGUGGGGAGCAAACAGGAUUAGAUACCCGGGUAGUC